RNAcentral lists this unclassified non-coding RNA (495 nucleotides) under Hevea brasiliensis (rubber tree). Lineage: Eukaryota; Viridiplantae; Streptophyta; Magnoliopsida; Malpighiales; Euphorbiaceae. The record is from RNAcentral.
UAUUGGUUAGCCAAAAGCUCAGGCAGUGUGACUCCUUUCAUUUCGAAAAGUUUGUAGAAGAACAUUCUGCUACUGGAGAUGCUGGGAAAAAGCCUAGCAAAACAUUGAUGUUUAUUGAGGGCUGUCCUACUCGUCUGGGAUGUACAAUUUUGUUAAUGGGAUCGAACAGUGAUGAAUUGAAGAAGAUUAAACAUGUAGUCAAAGAUGCGAUCAUCGUGGCGUACAAUUUAAUCCUAGAGACUUCGUUCCUUCUGGAUCAAAAAGCAAUGUUCUCAACUCUACCUCUUAGCCAGGAGGUGAAUCUAACACUUGGUAACGAAACACCAUCUGUUAGUGAUGGGCAAGGAAUUAUCUCUAACACUGAGGAGCAUGUCGGUGAAAUAAGUUCAUCUGGUACAGUUGAUAUUCCAAUAUCCAAUGGCUUCCAUGAAGAAAUAAGUCAUAAGUUAGACGCACAAAGCGAAUCUCUACAAUAUGAGCCAUACAACCCAGUCG